This 498-nucleotide ribosomal RNA is filed under the name Escherichia coli. RNAcentral's name for it is "partial 23S ribosomal RNA". It matches the Rfam family "Bacterial large subunit ribosomal RNA", at positions 2143 to 2640 of the family's 2925-position model. Lineage: Bacteria; Pseudomonadati; Pseudomonadota; Gammaproteobacteria; Enterobacterales; Enterobacteriaceae. The record is from RNAcentral.
AUAGGUGGGAGGCUUUGAAGUGUGGACGCCAGUCUGCAUGGAGCCGACCUUGAAAUACCACCCUUUAAUGUUUGAUGUUCUAACGUUGACCCGUGAUCCGGGUUGCGGACAGUGUCUGGUGGGUAGUUUGACUGGGGCGGUCUCCUCCUAAAGAGUAACGGAGGAGCACGAAGGUUGGCUAAUCCUGGUCGGACAUCAGGAGGUUAGUGCAAUGGCAUAAGCCAGCUUGACUGCGAGCGUGACGGCGCGAGCAGGUGCGAAAGCAGGUCAUAGUGAUCCGGUGGUUCUGAAUGGAAGGGCCAUCGCUCAACGGAUAAAAGGUACUCCGGGGAUAACAGGCUGAUACCGCCCAAGAGUUCAUAUCGACGGCGGUGUUUGGCACCUCGAUGUCGGCUCAUCACAUCCUGGGGCUGAAGUAGGUCCCAAGGGUAUGGCUGUUCGCCAUUUAAAGUGGUACGCGAGCUGGGUUUAGAACGUCGUGAGACAGUUCGGUCCCUA